RNAcentral lists this transfer RNA (64 nucleotides) under Leposoma nanodactylus. RNAcentral describes it as "tRNA-His". It matches the Rfam family "tRNA". Rfam says of the family: Transfer RNA (tRNA) molecules are approximately 80 nucleotides in length. Their secondary structure includes four short double-helical elements and three loops (D, anti-codon, and T loops). Further hydrogen bonds mediate the characteristic L-shaped molecular structure. tRNAs have two regions of fundamental functional importance: the anti-codon, which is responsible for specific mRNA codon recognition, and the 3' end, to which the tRNAs corresponding amino acid is attached (by aminoacyl-tRNA synthetases). tRNAs cope with the degeneracy of the genetic code in two manners: having more than one tRNA (with a specific anti-codon) for a particular amino acid; and 'wobble' base-pairing, i.e. permitting non-standard base-pairing at the 3rd anti-codon position. Lineage: Eukaryota; Metazoa; Chordata; Lepidosauria; Squamata; Gymnophthalmidae. The record is from RNAcentral.
UUUAUAUAGUUUAAGACAAAACACUAGAUUGUGGUUCUAGUAAUAGAGAACCCUCUUGUAAACC